This 243-nucleotide ribosomal RNA is filed under the name uncultured bacterium. Its description in RNAcentral is "partial 16S ribosomal RNA". It matches the Rfam family "Bacterial small subunit ribosomal RNA", at positions 793 to 1039 of the family's 1533-position model. The record is from RNAcentral.
GUCCACGCUGUAAACGAUGCAUACUAGGUGUUGGUCCCGUUGGGGCCAGUGCUGCAGUUAACGCAUUAAGUAUGCCACCUGGGGAGUACGUCGGCAACGAUGAAACUCAAAGGAAUUGACGGGGGCCCGCACAAGCGGUGGAGCAUGUGGCUUAAUUCGAUGCAACGCGAGGAACCUUACCUGGGCUAAAUCCACAACGCUAUCUCUGGAAACAGGGAGUCCCUUCGGGGCGUUAUGGAAGGU